The sequence is a small RNA, 90 nucleotides long. It matches the Rfam family "RNA anti-toxin A".
CAAUAAUAAUAGAAAAGAGGACAUGCUGGAUACAUGCCCUCAAAAGUAGAACCGUUUAAGACGGUAGCAAAUUUACAGCGUUAAAAAUAA